Long non-coding RNA from Oncorhynchus keta (chum salmon), 609 nucleotides. RefSeq lists it as uncharacterized. NCBI's taxonomy places the organism in Eukaryota, Metazoa, Chordata, Actinopteri, Salmoniformes, Salmonidae. The transcript is spliced from 4 exons. The record is from RefSeq and is a predicted model, not a curated record.
GGGUUACUGGAGGAGAGGUUUGGACUGGCUGGGUUACUGGAGGAGAGGUUUGGACUGGCUGGGGUACUGGAGGAGAGGUUUGGACUGGCUGGGGUACUGGAGGAGAGGUUUAGACUGGCUGGGGUACUGGAGGAGAGGUUUGGACUGGCUGGGUUACUGGAGGAGAGGUUUGGACUGGCUGUGGUACUGGAGGAGAGAUUUGGACUGGCUGGGAUACUAGAGGAGAGGUUUAGACUGGCUGGGAUACUGGAGGAGAGGUUUAGACUGGCUGGGAUACUGGAGGAGAGGUUUAGACUGGCUGGGAUACUGGAGGAGAGGUUUAGACUGGCUGGGAUACUGGAGGAGAGGUUUAGACUGGCUGGGAUACUGGAGGAGAGGUUAGGACUGGCUGGGAUACUGGAGGAGAGGUUUAGACUGGCUGGGAUACUGGAGGAGAGGUUUAGACUGGCUGAGAUACUGGAGGAGAGGUUUAGACUGGCUGGGAUACUGGAGGAGAGGUUAGGACUGGCUGGGAUACUGGAGGAGAGGUUUAGACUGGCUGGGAUACUGGAGGAGAGGUUUAGACUGGCUGGGAUACUGGAGGAGAGGUUUAGACUGGCUGGGAUACUG